AGUGAACGCUGGCGGUAGGCCUAACACAUGCAAGUCGAACGGCAGCACCGUAAGAGCUUGCUCUUACGGGUGGCGAGUGGCGGACGGGUGAGGAAUACAUCGGAAUCUACUUUUUCGUGGGGGAUAACGUAGGGAAACUUACGCUAAUACCGCAUACGACCUACGGGUGAAAGCAGGGGAUCUUCGGACCUUGCGCGAUUGAAUGAGCCGAUGUCGGAUUAGCUAGUUGGCGGGGUAAAGGCCCACCAAGGCGACGAUCCGUAGCUGGUCUGAGAGGAUGAUCAGCCACACUGGAACUUAGCCACGGUCCAGACUCCUACGGGAGGCAGCAGUGGGGAAUAUUGGACAAUGGGCGCAAGCCUGAUCCAGCCAUACCGCGUGGGUGAAGAAGGCCUUCGGGUUGUAAAGCCCUUUUGUUGGGAAAGAAAAGCAGCAGGUUAAGACCCCGCUGUUCUGACGGUACCCAAAGAAUAAGCACCGGCUAACUUCGUG
This 492-nucleotide ribosomal RNA is filed under the name uncultured bacterium. RNAcentral describes it as "partial 16S ribosomal RNA". It matches the Rfam family "Bacterial small subunit ribosomal RNA", at positions 29 to 507 of the family's 1533-position model. The record is from RNAcentral.